This 106-nucleotide transfer RNA is filed under the name Candidatus Woesearchaeota archaeon. RNAcentral's name for it is "tRNA-Asp". Lineage: Archaea; Nanobdellati; Candidatus Woesearchaeota. The record is from RNAcentral.
GCCCUGGUGGUGUAAUCCGGCUCAGCAUGAAGCCCUGUCGCGGCUUCGAUUCGGGUUCAAAAUAACGCGACCGUAAAGGUUUCGAUUGGAAGUCCCGACCAGGGCG